This 406-nucleotide ribosomal RNA is filed under the name uncultured bacterium. Its description in RNAcentral is "partial 16S ribosomal RNA". It matches the Rfam family "Bacterial small subunit ribosomal RNA", at positions 30 to 526 of the family's 1533-position model. The record is from RNAcentral.
AUUGAACGCUGGCGGCAGGCCUAACACAUGCAAGUCGAACGAGUGGCGGACGGGUGAGUAAUGUCUGGGAAACUGCCCGAUGGAGGGGGAUAACUACCGGAAACGGUAGCUAAUACCGCAUACCAUCGGAUGUGCCCAGAUGGGAUUAGCUAGUAGGUGGGGUAACGGCUCACCUAGGCGACGAUCCCUAGCUGGUCUGAGAGGAUGACCAGCCACAUUGGGACUGGGACACGGUCCAGACUCCUACGGGAGGCAGCAGUUGGGGAUAUUGCACAAUGGGCGCAAGCCUGAUGCAGCCAUGCCGCGUGUAUGAAGAAGGCCUUCGGGUGGUGAAGUACGUUCAGCGAGGAGGCGUUACUCGCAGAAGAAGCACCGGCUAACUCCGUGCCAGCCGCCGCGGUAAUUC